RNAcentral lists this long non-coding RNA (2801 nucleotides) under Bemisia tabaci. RNAcentral's name for it is "lncRNA ENSSSA3NGG001534". Lineage: Eukaryota; Metazoa; Arthropoda; Insecta; Hemiptera; Aleyrodidae. The record is from RNAcentral.
UGCGAAAGUUCGAACUGGAAGUCUGUAGAGAUGAACCACCUCAUUUUCGUGUGGUAUCACGCUGAAGGAGAGGAUCCCUCCUACGAGAUACAACCGUUUGCAGAUAUUAUGGAUGGAAGUUACAAGUACAUGGGUCGUUUUGAAUAUCUGCUGGAUGCUCAUAUUGAGAGUGUUGAUGGCGGGCGUUGAUUUGGACGGUUCGAGGAGGAGAUGGCUUUCGAAAUUCAUCAAUCUCACGCAAUUAUCAGGCUGGAAACCUGAUGCAGAGCUGCCUCAUGUGUCGUGGUUUUGGAAUGAAAUGCAUUUAAAACUUUUCAGUACAAUUACUUUCAUGAAGAGUAAUAUUGUUGCAAGAAACACCGGACCAAGCUACUUCGAGUUCACCGGAUCAACAACUUUUGGAAACCCUAGGUUUACAAUGUGUCUUACGCCAGUUGCACCCCUCACCCUCCGACUAACGACGCGGUUCUAUAUGCGGCCAUAUGCAAUCCUCGCAGGACGAAUCUCGUUGUAUGGAUAUAAAAAUAUCAUGAUGGAUGACAUCAUGGUAUGGAAUUACGGGAAAGCAAGACCAAACCUGAAUGUUAUAAAGGAAGAUGGAUCCAUAGCCCCAUUCAGACGAUGGUACAGUCAAUUCUAUUCGAAAAAACAGUCCUUCCUUGAACUGUCAGGAUACUAUUUUUUAGCAAGUUUUAAAGACCAAGUCCUCUCUAUUUGACAUCCUUUAAAUGAAGUCUAUGAGGUAGCCGCUAAGCAAAAAUAUGGAAGACUUCGGAGGAAAAUAUAAUAUUUGUACCCCUUUCUUCACACUUCUAAUUUUAUGAUCAAACUCACUUCAGGUGCCUCAUAGCCAUUAGAUGUUUCGGAGGCUAAUACAUCUCAUAUACUACACUGUUAAAAAUAACUAAGGGGCUACGACCCCUGACCGCUACGCGGGCCAACCCCCCGAGGGGCCACUUCACGGACUUUUAAGCGCUCAGCCGAUAGGCAGCGCUUUUUGAUUGCGACUUGCCUCUAGAAUACUAUUACACUAGUGCUAAUUCGUUCAAAUGGCUCACCAGCUCAUCGAUGCGACAGCGGAUAGGGGCCGUACAAUUUUAGAAUAAAUAAAUCUGUGAUAACCGUAUUUAUGCGUCUUAACCUAAUGCGCGGGUAGUUACGACCGCUUUUCUAAAAUAAAUUGCUUUAGCGGUAGAGUAAUUCUUACCGAAAUUGAUCGUUGAAAAUUUGACGAGAGGAAUGAAACUCGCCUGAUGAACUCAACGGUGUUUAUCAUUUUCGGGAAACGAAAAAACGCGUUUACAUAGGUAGAGGUUUUAAGAGGUAGUGGCUAGUUAGGCUUCGAAAAACAGCUGUGAAGCAUGUGGCCAAUAAGUGCACGUAAUCUCUGAACAUGCCUCUUAAUUCUCCGACCUAUAAGUCCAUUUUUAGUUAAAGAUACAUUCAUUUUAACGGGUUAUGCAUCUCCUAAAAUUGGAAAACAUUAAUUAAAAAAAAAGUAUGCUUCUGGUUUAAAAAAAAAAUUCCACACAACUCACCAGUCAUUCUCAUUGGUGAUUUAAUAUGGAAAAUACUAAACUCACAAUCAACAAUACUUCGAAUCAAUUUUGUCACCCACUCAACUUUAUGGAGCCUUACCUAAUAAUUCAAUAACGACAAUUUAUAAUUCCUACAUAGAUGUUAUUUAUACCAACAAACCAAUGUAUAACGCAUGUGUACAUACUACGUUCUAUAGCGAUCAUUUCGCUGUUUACAUUCAAUUGUUAACAAUGUGAAUUCAGAAGGGCAAAUAAAGAAAUGUGUAAGUAUAUAAAAUUUGUAUUCUUCACUAAAUACAUAGACUAACACCUGAGCGCUUUUCUAAUACGACCGUAUUAGAACUUUCCCGCUUGUUUGUGAGUUGAUCUAGUAUGAAAUGAGACAAAAGCUGCACAUUAAAAAAAUAUUAAACAAUAUUUUAUCGCAGUUCUAUAAAGUAUGCGUUGGGGCCAUUUAUAUACGAGGGGCGUUCAAUAAGUAAGUAUCCCCCCUCUCUAAAAUCCAUAAGAAUGGACCAAUUUUAAAAAACUUGGGCUCAAAAUCUUCCUUAGGAUAUUUUGAGUUCAACAAAACAAACCGCAACAAAAUCGGACUAUGUGCGGCCGAACGCGAGCCGUUUGAUCCCGCCGAGGUGCUCGACGCUCCCGCCGAAUCUGCGAGGAUUUGAAGUCCGCUACAGGAGAAGAGCUUCUCUGCCAAAGCCUCAGUCGUUCAUCACUGACGAAAAAUCAAAGAAAUUUUUGUAGAAUAAGGGGCUUCCCUCACUUCUCCACAUAACCAGCUCGAUCCAAGCAAGUCUGAUACUGAGACUAAGACUAAGAGAACAGCUUUUGGAUGCCUCGUGCGUGGAAGUCUUUCAGCUGACCGCGGAUGAAAGAGUGGACGGCUUGUUUGACCUCUUCCACUGAUUCAAAAUAAACUCCUCCGAGUUCAGAUUUCAGGAACGGGAAUAAAUGGUGGUCUGGUUUGCCAUUCAUUAUCGUAUCUGAAAUCUGAACUCGGAGGAGUUUAUUUUGAAUCAGUGGAAGAGGUCAAACAAGCCGUCCACUCUUUCAUCCGCGGUCAGCUGAAAGACUUCCACGCACGAGGCAUCCAAAAGCUGUUCUCUUAGUCUUAGUCUCAGUAUCAGACUUGCUUGGAUCGAGCUGGUUAUGUGGAGAAGUGAGGGAAGCCCCUUAUUCUACAAAAUUUCUUUGAUUUUCGUCAGUGAUGAACGACUGAGGCUUUGGCAGAGAAGCUCUUCUCCUGUAGCGGACUUCAAA